RNAcentral lists this ribosomal RNA (420 nucleotides) under uncultured bacterium. RNAcentral's name for it is "bacterial SSU rRNA". It matches the Rfam family "Bacterial small subunit ribosomal RNA", at positions 355 to 766 of the family's 1533-position model. The record is from RNAcentral.
UGGGGAAUAUUGCGCAAUGGGGGAAACCCUGACGCAGCGACGCCGUGUGAGGGAAGAAGGCUUUCGGGUCGUAAACCUCUGUCAGGAAGGAAGAACCUCUCAAGGCUGAACAAGCCUUGGGACUGACGGUACUUCCAGAGGAAGCACCGGCUAACUCCGUGCCAGCAGCCGCGGUAAUACGGGGGGUGCAAGCGUUAAUCGGAAUCACUGGGCGUAAAGCGCGCGUAGGCCGUCUUUUAAGUCGGACGUGAAAGCCCUCGGCUCAACCGGGGAACUGCGUUCGAUACUGGGAGACUUGAGUCCUGGAGAGGGUGGCGGAAUUCCGGGUGUAGGAGUGAAAUCCGUAGAUAUCCGGAGAAACACCGGUGGCGGAGGCGGCCACCUGGACAGGUACUGACGCUGAGGCGCGAAAGCGUGGGG